This 74-nucleotide transfer RNA is filed under the name Gammaproteobacteria bacterium. RNAcentral describes it as "tRNA-Met". It matches the Rfam family "tRNA". Rfam says of the family: Transfer RNA (tRNA) molecules are approximately 80 nucleotides in length. Their secondary structure includes four short double-helical elements and three loops (D, anti-codon, and T loops). Lineage: Bacteria; Pseudomonadati; Pseudomonadota; Gammaproteobacteria. The record is from RNAcentral. RNAcentral also lists the same sequence under 3 other names.
CGCGGGGUGGAGCAGUCUGGUAGCUCGUCGGGCUCAUAACCCGAAGGUCGGAGGUUCGAAUCCUUCCCCCGCUA